Molecule: long non-coding RNA, 211 nt
Filed under: Manihot esculenta (cassava)
Lineage: Eukaryota; Viridiplantae; Streptophyta; Magnoliopsida; Malpighiales; Euphorbiaceae
Description: long non-coding RNA (MESC_LNC010014)
Source: RNAcentral
UUUUUCAUGAGAUCUACUCUGGUUUUGAAGUUUUGAAGCUUAAAAGGGAGUUUUGGAAGUUUGGAGGCUUUUGGAGCUUGGAUCCUCCACACCUCCGAGUUAGAGAUCGCACCACCUCUCGAUCUUCAAGAGGUAAGUGUAGAUCCUUGCUUCCCUACUGUUUUAAUGAAGUUUUAGUACGUUUAAUGAUGUUUUGAUGGUUGAGUAUGGG